RNAcentral lists this ribosomal RNA (254 nucleotides) under uncultured bacterium. RNAcentral describes it as "partial 16S ribosomal RNA". It matches the Rfam family "Bacterial small subunit ribosomal RNA", at positions 524 to 776 of the family's 1533-position model. The record is from RNAcentral.
UACGGGGGGGGCAAGCGUUGUUCGGAAUUACUGGGCGUAAAGGGCUCGUAGGUGGCCAACUAAGUCAGACGUGAAAUCCCUCGGCUUAACCGGGGAACGGCGUCUGAUACUGGAUGGCUUGAGUUUGGGAGAGGGAUGCGGAAUUCCAGGUGUAGCGGUGAAAUGCGUAGAUAUCUGGAGGAACACCGGUGGCGAAGGCGGCAUCCUGGACCAACACUGACGCUGAGUGAGCGAAAGCCAGGGGAGCAAACGGG